This is a long non-coding RNA of Gorilla gorilla gorilla (western lowland gorilla), 462 nucleotides long. RefSeq lists it as uncharacterized. The record is from RefSeq and is a predicted model, not a curated record. The transcript has 2 exons. Lineage: Eukaryota; Metazoa; Chordata; Mammalia; Primates; Hominidae.
ACCGCUCUCCAACUGUCUCGGGCUCCGCCCCGGCAACCAACGCGAAAUGUGAAAUGCGCUGCGGCUGCAGGAGAGCGCGCGGCCAGCAGAGGGCGCCCGCGCCACACCUCGCGGAGGCCUCCCCAGAGGGGCUGGAGUGGAGGCAGAGCCACAACCGGGAAGCGCACUUCAGGGAACCGCACUUAGGGUCCGACGGGAAGGAGAACGGAGACCAUCAGGUUGGAAGACACUCCCCCCACUAACUGAGAACUGAUGCCUGAAUUCUCCUUUUCCACCAAUGAGAUCGAAGAAACAAGUUUCUGGACAACUAGAUUCUGGCUAGGGAUGACGCACGGGGAGGGGGUCCACCAGGGCUCCUCACGUGGCAACCCGAAAUAAUCGCCCAGGCCAGGGUUUCCAGAACAACGUUCAUUUUGCGUAAUUUUCUCAUUUUCAAUAAAGGCAUAAUCUUUAAAUGUGAAA